Molecule: unclassified non-coding RNA, 352 nt
Filed under: soil metagenome
Description: partial contains 5.8S ribosomal RNA, internal transcribed spacer 2, and large subunit ribosomal RNA
Rfam family: 5.8S ribosomal RNA (bases 1-120)
Source: RNAcentral
GAUGAAGAACGUAGCGAAAUGCGAUAAGUAAUGUGAAUUGCAGAAUUCAGUGAAUCAUCGAAUCUUUGAACGCACAUUGCGCCCGCCAGUAUUCUGGCGGGCAUGCCUGUUCGAGCGUCAUUACAACCCUCAGGCCCCCGGGCCUGGCGUUGGGGAUCGGCGGAGCCCCCCGUGGGCACACGCCGUCCCCCAAAUGCAGUGGCGGUCCCGCCGCAGCUUCCAUCGCGUAGUAGCUAACACCUCGCGACUGGAGAGCGGCGCGGCCACGCCGUAAAACACCCAACUCUUCUGAAGUUGACCUCGAAUCAGGUAGGAAUACCCGCUGAAAUUAAGCAUAUCAAUAAGCGGAGGA